GGACUCGUAGCAUAACGGAUAGUGCACCUGACUACGGAUCAGGAGGUUGCAGGUUCGAAUCCUGCCGGGUUCA
RNAcentral lists this transfer RNA (73 nucleotides) under Bacteroidota bacterium. RNAcentral describes it as "Bacteroidetes bacterium tRNA-Arg". It matches the Rfam family "tRNA". From Rfam's summary of the family: Transfer RNA (tRNA) molecules are approximately 80 nucleotides in length. Their secondary structure includes four short double-helical elements and three loops (D, anti-codon, and T loops). Lineage: Bacteria; Pseudomonadati; Bacteroidota. RNAcentral also lists the same sequence under 2 other names. The record is from RNAcentral.